AGAGGUUUGAUUUCUGCUCAGAUUGAACGCUGGCGGCAGGCCUAACACAUGCAAGUCGAACGGUAACAGGAAGCAGCUUGCUGCUUCGCUGACGAGUGGCGGACGGGUGAGUAAUGUCUGGGAAACUGCCUGAUGGAGGGGGAUAACUACUGGAAACGGUAGCUAAUACCGCAUAACGUCGCAAGACCAAAGAGGGGGACCUUCGGGCCUCUUGCCAUCAGAUGUGCCCAGAUGGGAUUAGCUAGUAGGUGGGGUAACGGCUCACCUAGGCGACGAUCCCUAGCUGGUCUGAGAGGAUGACCAGCCACACUGGAACUGAGACACGGUCCAGACUCCUACGGGAGGCAGCAGUGGGGAAUAUUGCACAAUGGGCGCAAGCCUGAUGCAGCCAUGCCGCGUGUAUGAAGAAGGCCUUCGGGUUGUAAAGUACUUUCAGCGGGGAGGAAGGCGAUGUGGUUAAUAACCGCGUCGAUUGACGUUACCCGCAGAAGAAGCACCGGCUAACUCCGUGCCAGCAGCCGCGGUAAUACGGAGGGUGCAAGCGUUAAUCGGAAUUACUGGGCGUAAAGCGCACGCAGGCGGUCUGUCAAGUCGGAUGUGAAAUCCCCGGGCUCAACCUGGGAACUGCAUCCGAAACUGGCAGGCUUGAGUCUCGUAGAGGGGGGUAGAAUUCCAGGUGUAGCGGUGAAAUGCGUAGAGAUCUGGAGGAAUACCGGUGGCGAAGGCGGCCCCCUGGACGAAGACUGACGCUCAGGUGCGAAAGC
Molecule: ribosomal RNA, 764 nt
Filed under: Enterobacter sp. Wr1M20
Lineage: Bacteria; Pseudomonadati; Pseudomonadota; Gammaproteobacteria; Enterobacterales; Enterobacteriaceae
Description: bacterial SSU rRNA
Rfam family: Bacterial small subunit ribosomal RNA
Source: RNAcentral